Molecule: non-coding RNA, 2833 nt
Organism: Arvicanthis niloticus (Nile rat)
Lineage: Eukaryota; Metazoa; Chordata; Mammalia; Rodentia; Muridae
Source: RefSeq, a predicted model, not a curated record
GCCUAGCCCCUUGCUGAUCCGGCUCUGGCGUUCGGCGAGGGCUCGGCGGCCCGACCCGGCUGGCGCGCGGGCGGAGCCGGGGCGGCGGGGCUGCUGCUGGCUGAUUGCAUCGGACUGCGGGCUGCGACAUGGACUGUCCCGUGCAGCCCGAAUUCCAGCCUCGUUGACCCAGGCACACCAAGAGCUUUCUACCAAAGAAGCCCCUCCAAGCACUGACCAUGUCUAUUAUGGACCACAGCCCCACGACUGGGGUGGUCACAGUCAUUGUCAUCCUCAUCGCCAUAGCUGCCCUGGGGGCCUUGAUCCUGGGCUGCUGGUGCUACCUGCGGCUGCAGCGCAUCAGCCAGUCAGAGGAUGAGGAGAGCAUCGUGGGUGAUGGUGAGACAAAGGAGCCCUUUCUACUGGUGCAGUACUCUGCCAAGGGGCCAUGUGUGGAAAGAAAGGCCAAGUUGAUGACCGCCAACAGCCCAGAAGUGCAUGGCUGAGCUGGGCUGCGAAGGCCAUGGUUCUGUUUGCAGCCGGCCCAGAAGCACUGAGAGGGCAGAAGCAGACAUGUUGCUAUGUGAGAGGGGUUGACACUUGCUGGCAUGGUCUCCUCGGGCUUUGUCAUCGCAUGCACUGACUCCAGGUCCCAGCUCUUCUGGCCUUCCCCCUCAGCCUCCUGGUGGACUGUCCAUUGCAGGCAGUGGGCAGGCCUGACCUUGCUGGAGCUCGUGGCCCCUUAGCGCUUUCCUUACUUGAAUGUUUUAGCUGAGCCUGUUUUUGACGGAGCUACUACUGUAAUGGGUGAACUAACCAACCUGUGAACUGUAAAUAGGCCCAGAAGCACAUGCUUAAGCCUUUUUGCCGAUUUUUAAAAAUACCAGAUGGACUGGCUUGAUAAUGAUUCUACUCACAUGCACUGAGGUAUGACCAUGGGAGGGUCUUUGGCUGGUCUUGCGCCAGUUGCCCUUGGCAGGGUCCACUGAGGUCUUAGCUAUGCGUAUGGAAAGGAGGUAAAAGGUUAAGAAGCUGGGAUUCUGGGGUAAUUUCAACUUGCUUAGUAAUGGAGAAAACCACACCCCUCCCCUUCUUUAGCUUCAGCUUUGUUAAAUAGCAGUGUGUGUAGAUGGCAGAGUUACUGCAAGGAAGCUGUUGUACUUGCUUGGAAGCCUGUGAAGGACGAGACCUCUUGAGUCCUGAGGGUUGCCAGGCAGCUUAGCAGAGCAGUCUCUUGCCCUUUGGUUUGGAGCAUGCCCAAUACACCCCUUCAGCACAGGCUUUGCAGAAACUGCUCUGGUCCUUUGGAAACACCAGGGUCUGUGGUGGCUACUUGAAGUUUGAAACCCAGAAGGCAAGGUUGUUUUUGUAUUUAAUAUUUUCUGCACUGGAAUGGGGGUUGGGGAUAGGGGUGGCUUCCCCCCCCCCCCCACCUUUUCACAAGAGAGCUUCCUUUCUUCUCCAUUGAGUAUUGGGUUUCACUUUGAUCCUUAGGGCUUUGUAGACAGAGCUCCCUGACCCAGCUCCCAAGACACUAUGUGCCAUAGAAGGUCAUUUCUAGUAUGCACAUAGCAUUUCCAGCAGUCACCAGGAGUUCAAGUUGAGGGCCUGGUCCUCGCAGGUAAGGGAGCCAGCAGCAUGUCUCCUGGUUAUUUCUUACAUCUAUAAGCUUGCUCAGAUGUUAGUCCCACCACCAUAAUAAGCAUUCUAAACCAUUAUGAUUAAAACUGACUAUGCUGGCACCCUUGGUGAUGAAUAGGUGGCCAGCUAGCCCUGGCAGCAGAGAGCUUCAGGCUAGUCUGGAGACAGCUUUACAAAGCAUGUGGAACUAAUCCAUUUUCUAGAACCCAAGGGAGGAGCUGUAGGGAACACUUUUUGGCAGUUGUAUACCAAUAUGGGGGGGGAGGGGAGGGAGAGGCUAAGAAACAGUCUGAGGUUACACAGGAGGUAGUCAGGGAUGGACUGGCCAUAGGCAGAGGCUGCUAAGGCUGGCUUGGAUGUGUGUUAGAGCUGGGAGCAGUGACUCACUCUGUAGGUCUAGGAGGGGAAGAGAAAUAUCAAAGGAUCUGCCCGGAGUUGUCUGAGGCUGAGGGGUCUGACCCAUUCCCACCCCACAUCUAUCUUUCUACCUCUACUUCUUGCAGCCAGCAGCCUAAACACUGCUGAUCCUUUCUCCAUCAUCCAUGGAUCCAAGGCCAGCUUGGAUCUCUACUGAAGUUUGAGCCUGUUCAUCGCUGCACUGUUAGAUGCAGGUUGCAGCUUGUACUAUGCCGAUGAAGUUUGUUUUUCAAACAGACAUCAUCUCACAACAGACAUCAUCACAUUCUUAUCAGUUGUACUUUGGGGGAUCUUUCAAGUUUGAGUCAGUCCAUUCAGAGGGGGAUGAGUAAGUUCAGGCACUGUGGGGUCACAGGGAGGGGAAUGAACACCUGUAGAACUAUUGAGCAGCCAUGCAAGUCUUCCCUGUCCUUGGUAUCGCUGGCUCCCUUUGUAAGUGUGCACCAGAGCCAUCCACUCCAGUGGUUAACAAGCUAUGCCUUCUCUUCAGAUUCUUUCCCGAUAGUGUACCUAUUGUGGUCAGGUCUUCUGAUGACAAGAAGCUAGCCUUUCACCCUGGGGAGCAUGCAGGAACACUGAGGCUAAGCCACAGAAGCAAGGACUGACUUUCCGAGAUAUAUAUUCAAAUGGACUGUGCUACUGUUGUGUCUCAAAGCUAUCAGUUUGUGCAAUAAGUGGAAGGGAUGCCAUUCCUGAUCAAUAAUUGCUGAAUGACAUUCAAGUUCAUUUUGUAGACCACUGAGAAAAUCUUUAUUUACAAUAAAUUUCAAUAAAAUUUGCAUAACUAUAUUCCCAA